GCGUCAUUAGCUCAGUUGGUUAGAGCAGCUGACUCUUAAUCAGCGGGUCCGGGGUUCGAGUCCCUGAUGACGCACCG
RNAcentral lists this transfer RNA (77 nucleotides) under Brachybacterium phenoliresistens. Its description in RNAcentral is "tRNA-Lys". It matches the Rfam family "tRNA". From Rfam's summary of the family: Transfer RNA (tRNA) molecules are approximately 80 nucleotides in length. Their secondary structure includes four short double-helical elements and three loops (D, anti-codon, and T loops). The record is from RNAcentral. Lineage: Bacteria; Bacillati; Actinomycetota; Actinomycetes; Micrococcales; Dermabacteraceae.